RNAcentral lists this ribosomal RNA (477 nucleotides) under uncultured bacterium. Its description in RNAcentral is "partial 16S ribosomal RNA". It matches the Rfam family "Bacterial small subunit ribosomal RNA", at positions 30 to 507 of the family's 1533-position model. The record is from RNAcentral.
AUUGAACGCUGGCGGCAUGCCUUACACAUGCAAGUCGAACGGUAACAGGUUAAGCUGACGAGUGGCGAACGGGUGAGUAAUGUAUCGGAACGUGCCCAGUCGUGGGGGAUAACUGCUCGAAAGAGCAGCUAAUACCGCAUACGACCUGAGGGUGAAAUCGGGGGAUCGCAAGACCUCGCGCGAUUGGAGCGGCCGAUAUCAGAUUAGGUAGUUGGUGAGGUAAAGGCUCACCAAGCCGACGAUCUGUAGCUGGUCUGAGAGGACGACCAGCCACACUGGGACUGAGACACGGCCCAGACUCCUACGGGAGGCAGCAGUGGGGAAUUUUGGACAAUGGGCGCAAGCCUGAUCCAGCCAUGCCGCGUGCGGGAAGAAGGCCUUCGGGUUGUAAACCGCUUUUGUCAGGGAAGAAAAGGUUCUGGCUAAUACCUGGGACUCAUGACGGUACCUGAAGAAUAAGCACCGGCUAACUACGUG